CGCCUGUUUAUUAAAAACAUAGUUUUGUGAUUUUUAUAUAAAAUAAAGUCUGCCUAUUGAUGAUUUGAUUAAAAGGCCGCAGUAUUUUGACUGUGCUAAGGUAGCAUAAUAAUUAGAUUUUUAAUUGAAAUAUUGAAUGAAUGGCUAAAUGAGAUAAAUUCUUUUUUUUAUUUAAAAUUUAAUUUUAUUUUUUAGUUAAAAAGCUAAAACUUUAAAAUCGGACGAGAAGACCCUAUAGAAUUUUAUAUUUUGUUAUAUUUUUUUUUAAUUAUUAAUUUAAAUAAAAUAUUAUAUAAAUUAUUAUAUUGGGGUGAUAAUUAAAUUUAAUUAACUUUUUUGUUUUAUUUCAUUUAUAAACGUAAAAUUGAUUGAUCUUAUUAUAUAGAUUAUAAAAAUAAAUUACCUUAGGGAUAACAGCAUAACAAUUUUAAGAAGUUCUUAUUUUUAAACAUUAUUUU
RNAcentral lists this ribosomal RNA (458 nucleotides) under Dasineura serotina. RNAcentral's name for it is "partial large subunit ribosomal RNA". The stretch from base 1 to 153 matches the Rfam family "Archaeal large subunit ribosomal RNA", at positions 1889 to 2085 of the family's 2987-position model. The record is from RNAcentral. Lineage: Eukaryota; Metazoa; Arthropoda; Insecta; Diptera; Cecidomyiidae.